Molecule: non-coding RNA, 72 nt
Organism: Pseudovirgaria hyperparasitica
Lineage: Eukaryota; Fungi; Ascomycota; Dothideomycetes; Acrospermales; Acrospermaceae
Source: the annotation of a RefSeq genome assembly
GCCCGCGUAGCCCAAUGGUAGGGCGCAAGACUUCUAAUCUUGAGGCUGCGGGUUCGAGUCCCGCCGUGGGUG